UACGGAGGGUGCAAGCGUUAAUCGGAAUGACUGGGCGUAAAGGGUGUGUAGGCGGUAUGUUAAGCUUGCUGUUAAAUUCUCCGGCCUAACUGGAGACAUGCAGUGAGAACUGGCGAACUUGAGGAUGAGAGAGAGAAGUGGAAUUCCCGGAGUAGCGGUAAAAUGCGUAGAUCUCGGGAGGAACACCGAUGGCGAAGGCAGCUUCUUGGCUCAUUCCUGACGCUGAAACACGAAAGCCAGGGGAGCGAACGGG
Molecule: ribosomal RNA, 253 nt
Filed under: uncultured bacterium
Lineage: Bacteria
Description: partial 16S ribosomal RNA
Rfam family: Bacterial small subunit ribosomal RNA
Source: RNAcentral